CCCGCACAAGCGGUGGAGCAUGUGGUUUAAUUCGAUGAUACGCGAGGAACCUUACCUGGGCUCAAAUGUAUGUUGACGUAUUCUGAAAGGGAUACUUCUUCGGACAAUAUACAAGGUGCUGCAUGGUUGUCGUCAGCUCGUGCCGUGAGGUGUCGGGUUAAGUCCCAUAACGAGCGCAACCCCUAUCAUUAGUUGCCAUCAGGUCAAGCUGGGGACUCUAAUGAAACUGCCUACGCAAGUAGUGAGGAAGUGGGGAUGACGUCAAAUCAGCACGGCCCUUACGUCCAGGGCUACACACGUGCUACAAUGGCCGGUACAAAGGGCAGCUACCUGGUGACAGGAUGCUAAUCUCAAAAGCCGGUCUCAGUUCGGAUCGGAGUCUGCAACCCGACUCCGUGAAGCUGGAAUCGCCAGUAAUCGCGCAUCAGCCAUGGCGCGGUGAAUACGUUCCCGGGCCUU
Molecule: ribosomal RNA, 459 nt
Filed under: uncultured Sphingobacteriales bacterium
Lineage: Bacteria; Pseudomonadati; Bacteroidota; Sphingobacteriia; Sphingobacteriales
Description: bacterial SSU rRNA
Rfam family: Bacterial small subunit ribosomal RNA
Source: RNAcentral